RNAcentral lists this long non-coding RNA (1161 nucleotides) under Corvus moneduloides (New Caledonian crow). RNAcentral's name for it is "lncRNA (ENSCMUG00000017127.1)". Lineage: Eukaryota; Metazoa; Chordata; Aves; Passeriformes; Corvidae. The record is from RNAcentral.
AUGUGCAGCUCCCAGGCCACCAUUCCCCUCCAAGCAGCCCCUCAUGAUUCCCUGAGCCCUACCUUCCUGUCCCUGUCCCUGACCAGCCGUGCCGCAUCCUCGGCGUGGCCGUGGAGCUCCCGCAGCCGCCGCGCCUCGUCCUGGGCCUGCUCCAGCUGCUUCUGCGCAGCGCCCAGCCUGUCCUCGGCCGCCUGGCGCUCGCUCUUCAUGAACAGCGCCUGCCGCUGCACGCGGAACACCUCCUCGCACGUCUUCUCGUGCCGCCGCUCCAGCUCCUGCAGCCGCCGCGCCAGCGCCGCCGCCUCCGCCCGCAGCCCGGCCUCGGCCGCCUCAUGCUGCGCCCGCGGCACGGCUGCCGCCAGCUCUGCCUCCAGCCGGGCGGCCUCGCGGGCCUUGGCCUCGGCCGCGGCCUCCAGCUGCGCCAGGCGCUCCCGCAGGGCCUGCGCCUGCCGCAGCCGCGCCGGGGCCUCCUCCUCGUGCUCCCGCAGCCGCUCCCGCAGCGCGCCCAGCUCAGCCUCCCUGCGCGCCAGCACGGCCCGGAGCUCUGCCAGCUGUGCCUCGGCCUCCUCCUGCUGCCGCGCCAGCUCCGCCGCUCCCGCCGCUCCCGCCGCUCCCGGCUCCGGCGCUCCUGGCGUGUCCCGCGGCCUCGCCUCCAGCUCCCGCCGCAGUGCCUCGGCCUCAGCCUCGGCGCGCCCGCAGCGCUCCAGCAGCGCUUUCUUCUCCCUCGACGCCUCCUCCGCAGAGGCUCCCGGUGAGGCAGCAGCCUCCGCAGCCUCCAGCCGGGCCUGCAGCUCCUUCAGCUGCCGCUCCCGCUCCUCCAGCUCGGUCUGUGCCUGCUUCAGGGCCGCCUGUGCCUCCACCAGCUCCGUGCCCGGCUCCCGCUGGCCAGAGGGUGAGGAGGAGGGGGAUGUCUGCACCCCCAGCUCGUCCAGCACUGCCUUGCACUCGCCCCAGGCCCAGGUUGGCCCCUUGGUGGGAUGUGGUCCCGCGCUCCCCUCCGGGAUGGGCUCCGAGGCCCCGCGCUGCCCAUCCCCUCCAGCCUGCGCCGUGGCCUCCCUGCCCUGUGUCCGCAGCCGCUCCAGCUCCCGCUGCAGGGCCCGGUACAGACUGGCGGGCACCACGUCCCCCGGGGCAGGGGGGCUGCUCUCAUCCCGCUCGUAG